UUUCAGCAGCCGCGGUAAUACAUAGGGUGCAAGCGUUGUCCGGAUUUAUUGGGCGUAAAGAAACUCGUAGGUGGUUUGUUACGUCGGAUGUGAAAACUCUGGGGCUCAACCCCAGACCUGCAAUCCGAAUACGGGGCAGACUAGAGUGUGGUAGGGGAAGACUGGAAUUCCUGGUGUAGCGGUGGGAAUGCGCAGAUAUCAAGGAGGAACACCAAUGGCGAAGGCAGGUCUCUGGGCCAUUACUGACACUGAGGAGUGAAAGUGUGGGGAGCGAACAGGAUUAGAUACCCUGGUAGUCCACACCGUAAACGAUGGACGCUAGUUGUGGGGACCUUCCACGGUUUCUGCGACGCAGCUAACGCAUUAAGCGUCCCGCCUGGGGAGUACGAUCGCAAGAUUAAAACUCAAAGGAAUUGACUGGGCCCCGCACAAGCAGCGGAGCAUGCGGCUUAAUUCGACGCAACGCGAAGAACCUUACCAAGGCUUGACAUAUAGGGAAAAGCAGCAGAGAUGUUGUGUCCGCAAGGGCCCUAUACAGGUGGUGCAUGGUUGUCGUCAGCUCGUGUCGUGAGAUGUUGGGUUAAGUCCCGCAACAAGCGCAACCCUCAUUCUGUGUUGCCAGCAUUUAGUUGGGGACUCACAGGAGACUGCCGUGGUUAACACGGAGGAAGGUGGGGAUGACGUCAAAUCAUCAUGCCCCUUAUGUCUUGGGCUGCACGCAUGCUACAAUGGCUGGUACAAACGGCUGCAAUACCGCAAGGUUGAGCGAAUCCGAAAAAGCCAGUCUCAGUUCGGAUUGGGGUCUGCAACUCGACCCCAUGAAGUCGGAGUUGCUAGUAAUCGUAGAUCAGCAACGCUACGGUGAAUACGUUCCCGGGGCUUGUACACACCGCCCGUCAAAC
Molecule: ribosomal RNA, 902 nt
Filed under: uncultured Actinomycetes bacterium
Lineage: Bacteria; Bacillati; Actinomycetota; Actinomycetes
Description: bacterial SSU rRNA
Rfam family: Bacterial small subunit ribosomal RNA
Source: RNAcentral